ACGGCGCAGGCUGUCCAGGGAGAAGGACCAGCUCUCUGUCCACGCUGGUACCCAGUGGAAAGACUCCUUCCUAAAAGCAGGUGGUCCCUGGGACCAGGCCCCACCUCCUCCGGCAGCUCCAGGACCCACCCGUGACACCGCCAUCUUCCAGCCCCCGCUGCUGUGUACAGAACAUGUGGCUCCCCAACACCUGCCACCUGCCUCUGCUUUCAGGGAACCUCAUCUCCGCCACCCUCUCAUCUGGGAGAGGAGUGCUGACUCCUGGUUUCUGGACACACCGCAUGAUUUUGGGGUUUCCACCAGGCCCUGGAAUCCCUGCCAGGUGGGGAAACUGAGGCUUGGCAAAGCAGGGUGGCGGACCAGACCCCCAUCGUCUGCAAAGGAGCCACUGAGGGCGGCCUUGAGCUCAAAGCCACACCAGGUGGAGUCUCGCUCUGUUGCCCAG
Molecule: non-coding RNA, 445 nt
Organism: Saimiri boliviensis boliviensis (Bolivian squirrel monkey)
Lineage: Eukaryota; Metazoa; Chordata; Mammalia; Primates; Cebidae
Source: RefSeq, a predicted model, not a curated record